Rhipicephalus sanguineus (brown dog tick) is the source of this 1221-nucleotide long non-coding RNA. RefSeq lists it as uncharacterized. The record is from RefSeq and is a predicted model, not a curated record. The transcript has 3 exons. NCBI's taxonomy places the organism in Eukaryota, Metazoa, Arthropoda, Arachnida, Ixodida, Ixodidae.
ACAGCGGGGUGAUGUCCGCCUCUGGUGGGAAUGAGACGGCCUUGCUCGGAAGUUUCGCCCGAAAGCAGGUGAAGUACGGUAGCACCUGCAAGUAUGUCUCACGCAGCAGCAAGACAAUUAAGCACGUCGUACAGCCGGGCGACACGCUGCAGGGCAUUGCGCUGCGCUACGGAGUCACGACAGAAGAGCUGAAGCGUGCUACCGCCUCUGGACGAGUGACAGCUUAUUUUUGCGGACAUGGCUGGCAGUGCCUGUGGUAGAAACAGGGCCGCAGUGGGUGGUGCCUCGGCCUCAGGAGGUGGAGACACCAACGGUGCGGACGGUGCAGGCCCUGAGAACUCACCUCUGCAGUCUGACGAGAGUUUCACCGAUUUCCUCGGCCCGCAUACAAUUCCAUCGCCAAGUCUCGCAACCAGUUGAGACAACUUUCACACACAAGGUUUGAUGAUUGUGGUGUUGAGGAGCCUACAGCUGGUGUUGCAGCACGAGACUCAGCACCAGCACCUGUGGUGAUGACCCGGCAGGUGAAGCACUCACUCCAGAGGCACGAGCGAGACCAUGAGGAGAUCUUCCAGCUCUAGCAGUGCUCCCCUACUCAGCCAAGGACCUGUGUGUGUGCUCAUGUGUGUGUGAACCCUACUGCCCAAGAUGGCAGGUACUACUGCUCCUGUUUAUGUGAAAAAGCUGUCAAGGUAUGACAGUUUCUUUAUUAUUGACAUGUUGUGGCAGUGGCUGGCCCUUGCCAUUACCUCUGCCAAUGCCACUACUCCUGCAAUAGACGAGCACAUUGCAAUUUUUUUGCCUGUCUUGAAGGAAAGUAAUGACAUUACCUCACCAGAAAUGGCACGAGCCAACAUUGGAACAUCGGUGACUGGAAAUGUGAGUUUGCUGAAUGCCUGCAUGAAAUUAGAAAAGCUCCAAUUUGGAACACAAUGAUCUUUCACGGUACAGCUUUUGUCAAAGGAAACUAAGCCACUUUGUGCACAACUGCUGCUUGACACUUGGGUGUCCAGUUGGCCACGUGUUUCAUUGACACUACGCAAAGCUUUCAGACUAGCUGCUCACCCCAUGAGCUUCUAGAGUAUAGAGUUUUGCACAAUUGCGUGGUGGUGCAGCAAAAACACAGCUAUGAUCUUGCUGCCAGUAGUUUCAUUUGAUAGACGCUGUGCAUUUAUUCAUUGCUCACAAAAGACCUAUCUGCUUUUGUGGCAAGAGAUACUA